This is a small nuclear RNA of Gracilinanus agilis (Agile Gracile Mouse Opossum), 182 nucleotides long. RefSeq annotates it as U2 spliceosomal RNA. The record is from RefSeq and is a predicted model, not a curated record. The transcript has a single exon. NCBI's taxonomy places the organism in Eukaryota, Metazoa, Chordata, Mammalia, Didelphimorphia, Didelphidae.
AUCCCUUCUCGGCCUUUUGGCUAAGAUCAAGUGUAGAAUCCUGGUCAUGUGAGGAGAAAGCAAGGAAGGUUCUAGAUUGUUAGGUGGUCUCAACUGGUGAAAUUAUAGAAAGAAUUCUACAACAGGAAGAAUUACAAAUGGGUUGAUAUUUAUAUUGUUUGUUCAGUUGUAUCUGACUCUUU